GGCUCAGUAACACGUGGCCAACCCACCCUCGGGACGGAGACACCCCGGGAAACUGGGACCAAUACCCGAUAGGCGAAGACUCCUGGAACGGGUCUUCACCCAAAAGGUGUUAGGAUCAUGCUUCUUAACAUCGCCCGAGGACGGGGCCGCGGCCGAUCAGGUAGUUGGCGAGGCAACGGCUCACCAAGCCUAUAACCGGUACGGGCCGUGGGAGCGGGAGCCCGGAGAUGGGCACUGAGACAAGGGCCCAGGCCCUACGGGGCGCAGCAGUUGCGAAAACUUGUCAAUGCACGAAAGUGUGAACGGGCUACCCCGAGUGCCGUCCGCUGAGGAUGGCUUUUCUCUGCUGUAAGAAGGCGGAGGAAUAAGGAGAGGGCAAGUCUGGUGUCAGCCGCCCGCGGUAAUACCAGCCUCUCCGAGUGGUANGGAUGAUUAUUGGGCUUAAAAGCCGUNCCGUAGCCGGCCUCUCNAGUCUCUCGUUANNUCCAGCGAUNCNAUCGUUGGACUGCGGGAGAUACUG
RNAcentral lists this ribosomal RNA (520 nucleotides) under uncultured archaeon. Its description in RNAcentral is "bacterial SSU rRNA". It matches the Rfam family "Archaeal small subunit ribosomal RNA", at positions 87 to 586 of the family's 1478-position model. The record is from RNAcentral.